RNAcentral lists this long non-coding RNA (1045 nucleotides) under Pogona vitticeps (central bearded dragon). RNAcentral's name for it is "lncRNA (ENSPVIG00000021527.1)". The record is from RNAcentral. Lineage: Eukaryota; Metazoa; Chordata; Lepidosauria; Squamata; Agamidae.
AUGGCACUUAAACCUAAGCAGGUCCAGAAACAGCCAAAGUCUCUCAUCCACCACCCCACUAAUGCCACCUCCAACUCACAGCUGCUGUUGGACCUGACCAAGCCUCCCAUGGGGCACCUCUCUCGGGCGUCUCUCAGGGGCUGGGGUCAUCUCUCCCAGCUCUGUGUCCCAGUGAUGACUGUGGAUACUGUAGUGGGCCAACCAGGUGGGCUCCUGUUGCCAUUACCGGGCUUCUCAAGAGGCUUGGAAAGGCCAAGACUGGUGUGGGUGGCAUUGGGGGCGAUGAUACCUAUACAGACUCCCCAUAUGCUCCAUGCCACCGAAUCCCACUGGCUGACUCGCCACAUCACCCUCCCACCUUCUGCUUGUGGAAUUAACAUGGGCAUCUGCCUGACCAUCCCAUCAGGGCCUCUCCCUCCUCCUGCAAUACUCUGUUAUUCAUGUGGGACAGACCUAUGGCAGGCAUCUCGGGUGUGUGUGUGUAUGUGUGCCUGGAAUUUGGAAGCCACAUCUAAGCAGGGGAAUGGACGGGGACAUCCAUCUCUCAGCGAAAGGUUAGGCCUUGCUCCUCUGGGAGAAGAUGUUAUCCUGCUCCUGCCUUUGGGGCAAAAGAGACUUUAGCAGAAACAGAGAACGAGUCCUUUAGCGCGAUUUACUUUUCCUUUGGAGAACGGCUCCGCGAGGGGCGAUCCGCGGAAGCAUUGGACCGGCGGCGCAGGGAAGGAGGUGCCCGGCUCUUUCUCUACCCCGAGAGUCGCCCUUUGCCAGAGAAGAAAAGCGGUCGCCGGCACCGAAUCACGACAUACAAGGAGAAUUAAACCCACACACGCACCCCGGUCGGCUGCGGAAGCUGGAACCGACCCAGGCAUCCUCCCGAGCGCUCCGGGCUGGGCAGGAGGCGCCCCUUGGUCUCUUGCUCUACUAGCAGAACGGGGGGGGGGCGGGGGAAGGGGCGCGCCAGUGUCACCAGUGUCAUCGGAAUACGAGCGAGGGCAGGCGGGAGGGCGCGCGAGGGACUUCGCCUCCUUGCCAGGGGUCCGAGGAG